UGCGAGGGCAUACAGUCCUCGCUUUUGCACACCGUAAGGAGGUAUGCGAAUAAGGGCUGGGCAAGACCGGUGCCAGCCGCCGCGGUAAUACCGGCAGCCCGAGUGAUGGCCGAUAUUAUUGGGCCUAAAGCGUCCGUAGCUGGCCGAACAAGUCCGUCGGGAAAUCCACGUGCUUAACACGUGGGCGACCGGCGGAAACUGUUCGGCUUGGGGCCGGAGGACCCGAGGGGUACGUCCGGGGUAGGAGUGAAAUCCUGUAAUCCUGGACGGACCGCCGGUGGCGAAAGCGCCUCGGGAAGACGGACCCGACAGUGAGGGACGAAAGCUGGGAUCUCGAACCGGAUU
RNAcentral lists this ribosomal RNA (345 nucleotides) under uncultured archaeon. Its description in RNAcentral is "bacterial SSU rRNA". It matches the Rfam family "Archaeal small subunit ribosomal RNA", at positions 385 to 730 of the family's 1478-position model. The record is from RNAcentral.